AUACGGUUCGGCAACCAGUCAGAAGAUCUGUGGUCGAGUAUUGAAGAUCGACACGUGGAGAAGUAGCAAGCCAUCCGCGAUUCUUUGGAAAAUCAAGAAGCUCUGUCUGCGUGAUUUACGGCAUCAUGGGAGACCAUAUACACGGCAAUGAUAGGUGUAGCCCACUCAGCGGUGAACAUCAGAAUGUAGGCACAUGGUUGGAAAUCAGAUAAUGGUUUCCGAGCAGGCUACUUAAUAGGAAUUGAGGAAUGUCUGAAACGUGAAUUUCCUACCAUUGAUAUUAAAGCGGAACCACACAUUAAGUCAAAAAUCACAGCAUGGAAGAAGAACUAUUACUCUCUCUCAACUAUCCUAGCUCGUAGUGGGGUGGGAUUCAACGCACAUAAUGACUUUAAGAUCGACUGUGAUGAUGAACAAUGAGCUCAAAUCGUUCAGAAGGAUGGCAAUGCGAAGUACAUGCAGAACAAAGCUUGGCCACAUUGGGACAGCUGGAAUGAGAUUUUGGCAAGGAGCGCGCAGGUGGUGGAAAGGCACUCGAUUCUGCCAAGACUGUGAACAAAUUGCCCUCUGUGCAGCGCAAUGAACAAGAGAACUAAUUACCCGAUGAGCUUUGAGGAGCUCUUUUCAAAUGAAGUUCUCCCAGAAGGUAUGAAUCAUGACGUCGAUUCAGGAAGUAAUACCAAUGUCCCCAAUGUUUCCAAUGUCCCCAGUGUUCACAAUGUCCCAAAUGUCCCAAAUGUGCAUGUUGUCCCCAAUGUUCCCAACACCCCGAAAGGAAGCAAGUAGGAAACGCAAAGGAAUCGACCCGAUGGAUAAAUUGAUUGACUUGAUGAAGCAAAUAUGCAUGAAGACACUAAUGAACAUUUGAAGACAUUGUCAACACGUAUUGGUUAUGAUUUUGAUCUCAGCGCCAAACGGGCUGAGAUUUUCAAUCAACUUGGUGUUGGGUCGGGUCUCACUUUGAAGCAUAAAUUCUUUGUUGGUCAGAAGCUGGUUAAGGAACCUGAGUUGAGGGAUCUCUUCUGAGGGCUUCCUGAGAUCGCACGCCCAGAGUAUGUGAUGUUCCUCUUGGAGAAGGAAGGACUCAUCUAAUUCCCAAGAAGUUGGUUUAGACUAUUUUGUGCAGGAAAGCCUUUUGUGUAAUAUAUAUUACAUGCAAUUUUUUGUGGAUAUUUCUUAAC
Molecule: long non-coding RNA, 1181 nt
Organism: Salvia splendens (bonfire salvia)
Lineage: Eukaryota; Viridiplantae; Streptophyta; Magnoliopsida; Lamiales; Lamiaceae
Exons: 4
Source: RefSeq, a predicted model, not a curated record